CCCAUUCCACUUCCACUUCUUCCCAUUCCACUUCCACUUCCUUCUUUAAUAAUUCCCAACACAUCCUCUGCCUCCCCCGGUCUUCCUUCUUGGUCCCCGAAACAAAUCCACCUCCCUGAGAGCUUAGACCUCCUAAUCUCCGGUCCUGUCACCACUAGCACAUAUAGCUAUGGCCAACAGCCGGGUGGCUGCUCGACUCCGUCCACCAGCCGGUUGACUGGUUCGAGAGGAAGAGAUGAGAAGGAUAGGGCGUGUGGCGGCUAUAGGGAAGAGAGAAGGUAGGGGUCCCUGGCGGAUUAUGGCGGCGGCGGUACCGACGGGAGAGAGGGGGAGCAUGCUAUGAGGGAGACGAAGUACCAACGCGCUGCCCCUGACCGGAGAAAUCGCCGGUGUUCUACCUGAACGCGGGUCAUAGAUGCAAGUGGUGCUGGUCCUCCGAGGGCCAGGCUGGUGGUGCGGCCGGGAUGGGCUCCGAUCAGAGCAACAACUUGGAGUGGCGAUAGAUCCAUCUUCUCCCACAAGUGCCGCCCCGGCUAAUUCAGAGACCAGAUUAUACUGUGGCAAUGGUGGAAUUACUUUUCCAAGCUGACAUCAUUCUUUUGGGGAGGAUGUCCUGCUCUUUUGUGUUGGUGAUGGAAUCAAAGCUGAUGCUAAGAAGGAAAGGCUACAAUAGAUGCUUCGCUUUGGGUUGCCUUGAUUCAACCUGUUUCAAAAUGAUAUACGUCUUGAGGAUAUGAGAGGUAAGAAGCAUGAUGGUGUGCAGUAUGCAUCGCUACAGGACUUUUCUACAAAGCCUGCUUCUUCCAGGUACGAUACUAGAUGUUAUACAUGGAAAAGUAGCUGCCAUGCAGCAGUACCCAGUAGCAGUCGCCAAUGGAGGAGCAUGGCCUUUCCGAUCUUGGUGAUCUUAAUGAAUAUUUUUGCUUGAAAGGUCUGUAGGUUAUAUACAAAAAUCUAUAACAGCUGCACUUUUUCAUGGCUAUUUAUAUAGUCGGGUCAUUCUCCUAUGUCACGUGGUUGGGUGACUUGCUAGAGUUUUCCCUUACCAUUGUUUCCACUAUAGUGCGCUUGGUUAGUCUAUGCAUUAGUUGUUGUUUGUUCGCUCGUUGUUCAGUGUUGUAAGGUUUUAAUGUUGUUUGUACUUUCUUUCUAUCUUAACUCAACACAUUUUGUUCUCGUGCAUGGUUAAAAAAAUCGUUCCAUGUCUGAAGUUAACAAGAAGCAAGUUAUUCCCAUUGAUUUUUAGCUUCUAUGGGCCCUCUCGUAGCACCAUCUGUAAGUGUCGUAUCUCUCUCUCUCUCUCUCACACACACACACACACACACAAUAUAUUUUGUUAAAGAUCUUGAUAUAUACAUAGGGCAACAAAAUUAUCUUUGCUUCCUUCCUCAAAUGGGUACUGAAGUCGUCAUCUGCUUUCAUGCUUCUGGUGGACAGAUUAUACACACUGUGUGCUAGCUAGUAAACAUUUUUUUUGGAAUAACUGGUAAACAAAAUAACUGAAGCAAUUUUGAAGUGAUGUCUUACUUGGUGCAGUCUAACUUUGAACUUUUUUCUAAUUUACAUUCUCUCUCUGAAGGUUACUUCAAGUACAGGCAACAGUCUGAAGGUAUAUACAUAUUUAUGUUUCUGAGGUAAGUCAUGUACCUGUUUUACUACAGAUCAUGAUGGCUCGUUUCGUUUUUUAUGAAUUCCACAAUAAUUUUCUCUAUACUUCCCUUUGUAUAAGUGUUCCAUCUAGAUGUUAGGAAAAGGGCAUAUAGUAUGGAUGCAUAAAUAGAUUAUUCUACAGUUUCAUCUUUAGUAUGGUCGAUCACAGAUCACUGAAACUAUAGAGUACUCCAUAAAUUAUGAACUUUUGUGACAACAGAAAUUAUGAACAUUAUAGUUAAACUUUGUUGAACAUUCUGCACUACAUUUUAUUUGUUGCUCAUUUUAUUUGGUCAGCCACACUAAAAGAGUUUUAGAAAGAUACCAGUGUAACGACUAUCUAGGUACACCCAAGAUCCUAAAAAAUCAAUUAAGACCUACCAAAAUGUUAUGGAUUGAUCUAAUUUUCCUUGAUAUAGUCGGUUUGCGCAAAAACUAGAUUUUAUCAGAGGUGUUACUGAACCAUUGGGGAAGGCAAUGCUAUCAUCCACUUGCAACUCCUGUUCGUCCAUUCUCUUUUUAGGAUCACAUUUUCCAACAUCUUAUAUUGCUGAAGAUGUCUGGCGAAAUUACUUUCUGAAAGUCCAAAAGAUUUUUUUUGAUGGUAUGCCAUCCAUAAUUGUUUUUGUCGUUCAUUACAUAUUCUAAUACUAAUUGAUUUGGAUGCAAGACAAAUGGAUCUUCUCUAAAUAGCAAAAGUAUCUUAAUAUUCACAUGUUGCUUUUGUCUUGAUUAUGUAGUUUCCUAACAUGCAAUAAUUUCAGCUUGAUAAUUCUCACUCAAGCAUGGAUGAAGAUGUACAUAUAAAUGGUUAUACGUACUAUGAGAUUUAGAAUUUCAGACCAGUACGGUAUUUUUCACUUUGUUUCAAAUUUUCUUUAAAGAAUGGAUGAAAACAUGAGAAUUCGACAGCUAUUUUUGUUAUUGGGAAGCUUGGCACCAGCUCAAUGGUAGCGUAUAUGGGAAAACUUUUAACCAGUUGGUUAUGUGGGUAAUUGAC
This 2650-nucleotide ribosomal RNA is filed under the name Triticum aestivum (bread wheat). RNAcentral describes it as "partial small subunit ribosomal RNA". The record is from RNAcentral. Lineage: Eukaryota; Viridiplantae; Streptophyta; Magnoliopsida; Poales; Poaceae.